This 892-nucleotide ribosomal RNA is filed under the name uncultured bacterium. Its description in RNAcentral is "bacterial SSU rRNA". It matches the Rfam family "Bacterial small subunit ribosomal RNA", at positions 569 to 1453 of the family's 1533-position model. The record is from RNAcentral.
UNGUAGGAGGUUUGUUGCGUCGUCUGUGAAAUUCCGGGGCUUAACUUCGGGGUGNCAGGCGAUACGGGCAUAACUAGAGUGCUGUAGGGGAGACUGGAAUUCCUGGUGUAGCGGUGGAAUGCGCAGAUAUCAGGAGGANCACCGAUGGCGAAGGCAGGUCUCUGGGCAGUAACUGACGCUGAGGAGCGAAAGCAUGGGGAGCGAACAGGAUUAGAUACCCUGGUAGUCCAUGCUGUAAACGGUGGGCGUUAGGUGUGGGGACCGGUUUGGUUUCUGUGCCGUAGCUAACGCAUUAAGCGCCCCGCCUGGGGAGUACGGCCGCAAGGCUAAAACUCAAAGGAAUUGACGGGGGCCCGCACAAGCGGCGGAGCAUGUGGAUUAAUUCGAUGCAACGCGAAGAACCUUACCUGGGUUUGACAUGCACCAGACGGUUGUAGAGAUACGUACCUCCCUUUGUGGUUGGUGUGCAGGUGGUGCAUGGUUGUCGUCAGCUCGUGUCGUGAGAUGUUGGGUUAAGUCCCGCAACGAGCGCGACCCUUGUCUCAUGUUGCCAGCACUUUGAGUGGGGACCCAUGAGAGACUGCCGGGGUUAACUCGGAGGAAGGUGGGGAUGACGUCAAAUCAUCAUGCCCUUUAUGCCCAGGGCUUCACACAUGCUACAAUGGUUAGUACAACGCGCGGCAAACCUGUGAGGGUGAGCGAAUCGCUGAAAGCUAAUCUCAGUUCGGAUUGGGGUCUGCAACUCGACCCCAUGAAGUCGGAGUCGCUAGUAAUCGCAGAUCAGCAAUGCUGCGGUGAAUACGUUCCCGGGCCUUGUACACACCGCCCGUCACGUCAUGAAAGUUGGUAACACCCGAAGCCCAUGGCCUAACCACCAUUUUUUGGUGGGGGG